GAUGAACGCUGGCGGCGUGCUUAACACAUGCAAGUCGAACGGAAAGGCUCCUGCUUGCAGGGGUACUCGAGUGGCGAACGGGUGAGUAACACGUGGGUGAUCUGCCCUGCACUUCGGGAUAAGCCUGGGAAACUGGGUCUAAUUCCGGAUAGGACGAUGGUUUGGAUGCCAUUGUGGAAAGUUUUUCGGUGUGGGAUGAGCUCGCGGCCUAUCAGCUUGUUGGUGGGGUAAUGGCCUACCAAGGCGUCGACGGGUAGCCGGCCUGAGAGGGUGUACGGCCACAUUGGGACUGAGAUACGGCCCAGACUCCUACGGGAGGCAGCAGUGGGGAAUAUUGCGCAAUGGGCGCAAGCCUGAUGCAGCGACGCCGCGUGGGGGAUGACGGCCUUCGGGUUGUAAACUCCUUUCGCUAGGGACGAAGCGCAAGUGACGGUACCUGGAGAAGAAGCACCGGCUAACUACGUG
RNAcentral lists this ribosomal RNA (465 nucleotides) under uncultured bacterium. Its description in RNAcentral is "partial 16S ribosomal RNA". It matches the Rfam family "Bacterial small subunit ribosomal RNA", at positions 28 to 507 of the family's 1533-position model. The record is from RNAcentral.